This 253-nucleotide ribosomal RNA is filed under the name uncultured bacterium. Its description in RNAcentral is "partial 16S ribosomal RNA". It matches the Rfam family "Bacterial small subunit ribosomal RNA", at positions 524 to 776 of the family's 1533-position model. The record is from RNAcentral.
UACGUAGGGUGCGAGCGUUAAUCGGAAUUACUGGGCGUAAAGCGUGCGCAGGCGGUUCGACAAGUCUGAUGUGAAAGCCCCGGGCUCAACCUGGGAAUGGCAUUGGAAACUGGCGAGCUAGAGUGUGGCAGAGGGGGGUGGAAUUCCGCGUGUAGCAGUGAAAUGCGUAGAGAUGCGGAGGAACACCGAUGGCGAAGGCAGCCCCCUGGGCCAAUACUGACGCUCAGGCACGAAAGCGUGGGGAGCAAACAGG